UAAAAUUAAGGGGAUUGGGUCGGGGGAUAGGCGGAUAAAGGGGGAUCUUGGGGGAUAAAAUACGAGGAGAGGAGAAAAACGAGGGGAGGGAGAGUUUCUUAAUUUUAAAACGAGGGGAGGAAGAGUCCCCUUCCUUUCUCUUCCCGCCCCGCCCCCUUCCCACCUUUCCCUUCCGCCUUUCCCCCGACCCAAUCCCCUUAAUUUUAU
Molecule: non-coding RNA, 207 nt
Organism: Paramuricea clavata
Lineage: Eukaryota; Metazoa; Cnidaria; Anthozoa; Malacalcyonacea; Plexauridae
Source: the annotation of a GenBank genome assembly